RNAcentral lists this ribosomal RNA (1016 nucleotides) under Salmonella enterica subsp. enterica serovar Schwarzengrund. Its description in RNAcentral is "partial 23S ribosomal RNA". It matches the Rfam family "Bacterial large subunit ribosomal RNA", at positions 1163 to 2135 of the family's 2925-position model. The record is from RNAcentral. Lineage: Bacteria; Pseudomonadati; Pseudomonadota; Gammaproteobacteria; Enterobacterales; Enterobacteriaceae.
CAAGACAACUUUACGGAGUUGACGAUUGACGGAGCGAAGCGACGUCAAAGCGUUCAUUAAAGUCGAGUUGGCUUAGGGAUACGUUCGUUGGGUAGGGGAGCGUUCUGUAAGCCUGCGAAGGUGGCCUGUGAGGGUUGCUGGAGGUAUCAGAAGUGCGAAUGCUGACAUAAGUAACGAUAAAGCGGGUGAAAAGCCCGCUCGCCGGAAGACCAAGGGUUCCUGUCCAACGUUAAUCGGGGCAGGGUGAGUCGACCCCUAAGGCGAGGCCGAAAGGCGUAGUCGAUGGGAAACGGGUUAAUAUUCCCGUACUUGGUGUUACUGCGAAGGGGGGACGGAGAAGGCUAUGUUGGCCGGGCGACGGUUGUCCCGGUUUAAGCGUGUAGGUGUGUGUUCCAGGUAAAUCCGGUUCACUUUAACACUGAGGCGUGACGACGAGGCACUACGGUGCUGAAGCAACAAAUGCCCUGCUUCCAGGAAAAGCCUCUAAGCAUCAGGUAACAUCAAAUCGUACCCCAAACCGACACAGGUGGUCAGGUAGAGAAUACCAAGGCGCUUGAGAGAACUCGGGUGAAGGAACUAGGCAAAAUGGUGCCGUAACUUCGGGAGAAGGCACGCUGACACGUAGGUGAAGUGAUUUACUCAUGGAGCUGAAGUCAGUCGAAGAUACCAGCUGGCUGCAACUGUUUAUUAAAAACACAGCACUGUGCAAACACGAAAGUGGACGUAUACGGUGUGACGCCUGCCCGGUGCCGGAAGGUUAAUUGAUGGGGUCAGCGCAAGCGAAGCUCCUGAUCGAAGCCCCGGUAAACGGCGGCCGUAACUAUAACGGUCCUAAGGUAGCGAAAUUCCUUGUCGGGUAAGUUCCGACCUGCACGAAUGGCGUAAUGAUGGCCAGGCUGUCUCCACCCGAGACUCAGUGAAAUUGAACUCGCUGUGAAGAUGCAGUGUACCCGCGGCAAGACGGAAAGACCCCGUGAACCUUUACUAUAGCUUGACACUGAACAUUGAGCCUUGAU